RNAcentral lists this ribosomal RNA (468 nucleotides) under uncultured bacterium. RNAcentral describes it as "partial 16S ribosomal RNA". It matches the Rfam family "Bacterial small subunit ribosomal RNA", at positions 28 to 507 of the family's 1533-position model. The record is from RNAcentral.
GACGAACGCUGGCGGCGUGCUUAACACAUGCAAGUCGAACGGAAAGGCCCUGCUUUUGUGGGGUGCUCGAGUGGCGAACGGGUGAGUAACACGUGAGUAACCUGCCCUUGACUUUGGGAUAACUUCAGGAAACUGGUGCUAAUACCGGAUAGGAGCUCCUGCUGCAUGGUGGGGGUUGGAAAGUUUCGGCGGUUGGGGAUGGACGCGCGGCUUAUCAGCUUGUUGGUGGGGUAGUGGCUUACCAAGGCUUUGACGGGUAGCCGGCCUGAGAGGGUGACCGGCCACAUUGGGACUGAGAUACGGCCCAGACUCCUACGGGAGGCAGCAGUGGGGAAUAUUGCACAAUGGGCGGAAGCCUGAUGCAGAAACGCCGCGUGCGGGAUGACGGCCUUCGGGUUGUAAACCGCUUUCGCCUGUGACGAAGCGUGAGUGACGGUAAUGGGUAAAGAAGCACCGGCUAACUACGUG